Non-coding RNA from Streptococcus thermophilus LMG 18311, 350 nucleotides. It matches the Rfam family "transfer-messenger RNA". From Rfam's summary of the family: Bacterial tmRNA, also known as 10Sa RNA or SsrA, is named for its dual tRNA and mRNA-like properties. Its role is to liberate the mRNA from a stalled ribosome. NCBI's taxonomy places the organism in Bacteria, Bacillati, Bacillota, Bacilli, Lactobacillales, Streptococcaceae. The record is from Rfam.
GGGGUCGUUACGGAUUCGACAGGCAUUAUGAGGCAUAUUCUGCGACUCGUGUGGCGACGUUAACGCUCAGUUAAAUAUAACUGCAAAAAAUACUAAUUCUUACGCUGUAGCAGCCUAAACACCUGCUCGCGUGACUUCUAGCAGAUUGCUUAUGUUUGUUUAGAGGUUUUAUUGAUUUAUAAGCUACGUUCGAUCAUUGCCUAGCUGGUCGAAAAGAGAUUUAUAGGCUCGCAUAUAGAAGGCUUGAGUUAUGUGUCGCCUAUCUGUUAAAUGAAAGACAUAACCUAUGGUCGUAGACGAAUAUGUUGGCAGAUGCUUGGACGUGGGUUCGACUCCCACCGGCUCCAUAA